Molecule: long non-coding RNA, 1368 nt
Organism: Quercus robur (English oak)
Lineage: Eukaryota; Viridiplantae; Streptophyta; Magnoliopsida; Fagales; Fagaceae
Exons: 3
Source: RefSeq, a predicted model, not a curated record
GGCCCAGACGUGGUGAAACGUCCAGCCCACUGCCUAGAGAAAACUUAUCUUUAACAAAUCUAAAGAAGACUAGAAGAGUCUAGAGAAAGGCAGAUCCUCAAAACUCAAAACCAGCCAUUCUUCAGUUCUGCUUCUGCAGAAUCAAAACCCAACGCAGCACUCAGCAGCAGCGGGAAAAAAAAAAGAUGAGAUCGGAGGAAGCUUGGUCUAGGGCCGGCCCUGACAGUGGGAGUGGAGAGAGAAUGAGAGAGGCGAAGAGCAUGAGUUGAGAGAAAAAAGCAGAGCAAGAAUGAUAAAAAGAAAGGAACGAGCACUGGGGUGCCUAUCUUUAAGAUUUUGGUAUUUAAACUUCAAGGAACAUACACUGGGGUGUUUAUCUUCAAGAUUUUGGUAUAACUUCGAGGAACUUGCACUAGGGUGUUGAUCUUCAAGAUUUUUGUGUGUUUUGUCCUCCAUCUCCAACAAACUAUUUGGACUUUGGACUUGAAGUGUAGUCAGCAACAAAAAUGUCUAAUAUUAAAGCCAUGAAGAUUAGAUCAAGAAACAAGUGAAAAAGGGUUAUUCAUUAAAGCUGGAUAGAUAGCUCAACACCUGUAGACAGAUAGCUCGACAGCUUCUCGACACCUCUCGACAGCUAGACUAUCUAUCGAGCUCUUCAGUUGAUUGUUAUCGCAAUCUUGACACCUCUCGAUAGCUGGUGGAUUGAUCGAGAAAGCUCCUGUCUGCUUGACAGCUCCUCGAUAGCUUCUCGAUAGCUGUAUCUGUCGAAGUGUAAAGCUCGACACCUCCUUAACACCUCCCAAUCAAUCGAGGUUACGGGAAUUCAGAUUUCCAAAUCUGAUUUUCGGUCCAAGUUUUUGUAUUUGUGUAAGGUUUCUUUUCUCAUAACCCUAGACCUAUAUAAGGCUUAUUUUAGAGGCCGUCACAUAAAAGAAUACAAGAAGAACAUAUGAAAAAGAUGACUGAUACCUUAUUCUCUCUGAAAGAAGCUACUACGUCUUUUGUACCUUAGGGUUUUGUAACCAAGUGCUUCUUGAUCUUCAUUAUUGAUGAAGUGAAACUUUGCAGCCAACAUUAUUCUUCUUCAAGUUGGUGAGUGAGUCAUGUGCUGGGAUUCGUGUAAUUGGUUAGUCAUGUACUGGGAUUUGUGCAUCAAAAGGUGGCAUUCAUAUAUUAAAGAAUUCAGAGGUUCUGAAGCAGUAGAAGGUUUCUACUGUGAGUUCAUCUACGGAGAUUGUAGAGUCUAGGGACAAAGGUUUUGUACUAGAUCUGAAACUUUUCUUUACUAUAGUGAAUUGCUUUUCGGGAAGGUUUCCCCCCAGGUUUUUAACUGUGAAACUAGUUUAUUUCAUUGGUUUUUCUAGGUCA